RNAcentral lists this ribosomal RNA (467 nucleotides) under uncultured bacterium. Its description in RNAcentral is "partial 16S ribosomal RNA". It matches the Rfam family "Bacterial small subunit ribosomal RNA", at positions 28 to 507 of the family's 1533-position model. The record is from RNAcentral.
GACGAACGCUGGCGGCGUGCUUAACACAUGCAAGUCGAACGGAAAGGCUCCAGCUUGCUGGCGUACUCGAGUGGCGAACGGGUGAGUAACACGUGGGUAAUCUGCCCUGCACUCUGGGAUAAGCCUGGGAAACUGGGUCUAAUACUGGAUAUGACCUUUCUCCUUAUGGGGUUUGGUGGAAAGUUUUUCGGUGUAGGAUGAGUCCGCGGCCUAUCAGCUUGUUGGUGGGGUGAUGGCCUACCAAGGCGACGACGGGUAGCCGGCCUGAGGGGGUGAUCGGCCACAUUGGGACUGAGAUACGGCCCAGACUCCUACGGGAGGCAGCAGUGGGGAAUAUUGCACAAUGGGCGGAAGCCUGAUGCAGCGACGCCGCGUGAGGGAUGACGGCCUUCGGGUUGUAAACCUCUUUCAGCAGGGACGAAGCGUAAGUGACGGUACCUGCAGAAGAAGCACCGGCUAACUAUGUG